Molecule: long non-coding RNA, 590 nt
Organism: Dreissena polymorpha
Lineage: Eukaryota; Metazoa; Mollusca; Bivalvia; Myida; Dreissenidae
Exons: 4
Source: RefSeq, a predicted model, not a curated record
UAAUAUGCAGUAAAUUUGAAGGAAGCAUUGCAUAUUAUUAAUAUUGUGUUUGCUUUUAGGGUAAAUACAAUUUUAAAGGGAUAUAAUAAAUUAUCUCCCUUUUCUAAAGUUGUAUUCUCAUCUUCAAUUUCUUACACAUUUUUGCUUCCUACGGUAUACAUGUAUAUAUUUAUCUUGGUACAUUACAAUGCGUACUGUAUAAUACUGUUUUGGCAUAUCAUGUACGACCCAGUGUGCAUUAUAUUUCAUAAAUUAUAAAUUAAUUUCAAUUGUUUUUGUAAACACACAUCUAAAAAUAAUCAAUUUCAGAGUGAACAGCGUUGGCUUGAGCAGCCGCGAAGUUGACGAAAUAAUAAAGAAGUGGACGGACCUUAAGAGUCAAGCGAAAAAAAAAGAAAAGAACAGGCGGCGGGAAGCGAGUCUAACAGGAGGCGGCAAAACCAGCAUCUGUCUCACAGACUGGGAGCAGAAGAUAGUAGCCAUUCUACCAGAAGAAACACUGGUGGGAAUCGACGGUGGAUUAGACACGUUUCAGUCCAGUUCAUGCUCUAAACAACAAGCAUGUGUUGACGAGGAAACAUCAAGCAUUU